UGUACCAGUUGUUCCACCAGGAGCAGAGCUGGGUAGCUAUGUGCGGCAGGGAUAAGCGCUGAAAGCAUCUAAGCGUGAAGCCCCCCCUCGAGAUGAGAUUUCCCAUACUUUUAAAGUAGUAAGACCCCUGAGAGAUGAUCAGGUAGAUAGGCUGGAAGUGGAAGUAUAGCGAUAUAUGGAGCGGACCAGUACUAAUCGGUCGAGGACUUAUCCAAA
Molecule: ribosomal RNA, 216 nt
Filed under: Aerococcus sanguinicola
Lineage: Bacteria; Bacillati; Bacillota; Bacilli; Lactobacillales; Aerococcaceae
Description: partial 23S ribosomal RNA
Rfam family: Bacterial large subunit ribosomal RNA
Source: RNAcentral